CACACGGUCUGGAAGGCCCGGCUCUGGGCAGGCACCAUCACCAGCGUGGCUCCCAUUUUCAUCAGGUUGUUGUAGUCGACCUUCUUUGGCUCCGUCUCCUUGCCUUCCAUCUCCCUCUGGCUGUACUGGGGAGGGGUGAGGUGAGGGGUGGCUUCCGUGGACAAAGUCCGCUGGCUGCGGGAGGCACUGUUGGCUGUGGACCUGGUGGAGGAGGAACCUGAGCGGGAGCUCCUGGAGCCAGAGGAGGAGGAGCUGGGCUUGACCAGAUGGGCCUUGGGUGCCUCUGCAUCUUCUCUGCAACCAAACAGAUGGCAGGGGCUCAAACACCACUUCCUAGUUUCACCACUGUCAUAAGCAGUUGCUCCCUGAAGCUGUAAAUCACCAGGGAGUGUCUGUCCAGGAAUGAUUUCUGUUAUCUGCUUUCUGAAUUCUGUGCUCUGUGCCUUGGUGGAGUGAACCCCCUAUUGCCCUGCAGAGCUGCUGGUCAAACAGGUUUGGGAUAAACACACACACAGCUCUGUGUGUGGAACAAAUAACAAAUACCAAGUGUCACUGCAAACAGCUCAGAUAGAACUGUCUGCUCUGUAAUCCUGACUCAUAAUGAGAAAUGGCCUGGGCAAGACUAGCUGAAACCAGUUCUUCCACUUAAAAUAACCUGUGGGUAGAGAAAGAAGUGCAAGAACUGGGUCCUGAGAGAAAGAGAGAGAGGAUGUAACAGUCAGGCGUGAAAAGGUGAUACAAGAGGGUGAGGCUCCAACUGAAAAUUCAUGCAAGGUGAGAAAGCAAAGAAAGCAGGAAAAAGGGAAGGGAAGGAAUCAGCAGAGGCUGCUUUCAGGCUGGCAACCUGAGUGUGAGGCAGAGGAAUCAGCUGCUGAAGGGAUUACAGAGAUGUCAUAUGAGGGCAGUCAUACAAAUAGACACAGAGAUGGAUCAAGGCACGGGGGUUGUUUCUUCUAGGGCGGGAGCAGCUAAAACUCCUUCCUGGAAAUAGAUCUUUCCAGUGCUUUCCUUCCUGAGGGGUUUAGGCUGGGUUGGCUGGAGACCAAUCUCUGCUUAGGGGAGUUAAGGGGCAGGCCUGGAACAGAUGAGCUCCAAGAACAUGUGUCAGCAUUGCCGGGGUGAGGCUGCUCCCCUCACAGACAGCUCAAGGAUUGCUCACCCAGGCUAAAUCCAGAGCACAGUUGUUCAGAAGGCUCAAGGAGGACUGAGAGAACCUGCCAGUCUUGGAGCAUUCCCAAUAAAAACUGCGAUUGAGAAGGAGAGAGGAGAAGGAGAGAGAAGGAGAAGGAAGGAGGAGAAAGAAGGAGACAGAAAAGGAGGAAAAAGAAGGAGAAGGAGAAGGAGAAAGAAAGUAAGAGAAAGAAGGAGAAAGAAAGAAAGAGAAAGAAGGAGAAGGAGAAAGAAGGAGAAAGAAGGAGAAGGAGAAAGAAGGAGAAAGAAGGAGAAAGAAAGAAAGAAGGAGAAAGAAAGAAAGAGAAAGAAGGAGAAAGAAAGAGAAAGGAAGAGAAAAAGAAAGAAGGAGAAAGAGAAAGAAGGAGAAAGAGAAAGAAGGAGAAAGAGAAAGGAGAAGGAUGUAGAAGGAGAAAGAGAAAGGAGAAGGAGAAAGAAAGGAGAAGGAGAACUAAAACCCCCCAAACCCUCUCAGAGCCACAAUGGGCAACCUCACCACCAGGAGGAGGAGGGAGAGUCCCACCACCACCCCACACGCUGCCCCGGCGAUCAUGCCGAUAUUUUGGGCAUCUGUUGUCCGGAAAACAGAUGGAUUAGUUGAUAAAUUCUCACUGGAGUUGCGCGGUCAGGUUCCAGUCGCCACUAGAACUUAGAGCACCGGGUAUAAAUCAGAACAGAACGUGCCAGUUUGUUUAUUUAGGUGUGUCUCCACACAGAAGCUGAACCAGUUUAUCUCCAGGCACUGUCGCUGAAGCUGAGCUGAGAAAAGCUCUGGAAGGGUGGGAUCACAAGUGCUGUGCCUUCAGCUGUGGGUCAGAGUGAAACGAGGAGGAAAAACCCUCCCCUCUGAGCACAGAGCCACCGAAAGCACAGACAUGUGAGACACAGACAUGUGAAACACGGCACCGAGCGGGUUCCUGGAGGCACGAGAGUGUUGGAACUGUGAAUAUUUCCCCAUGAGGAUUCUUUUUUUCCCCCCUUCAACUUACCCUGCAGUGAUUACAACCCCUUUUCCAGAAGGAAUUAUUUAAUCGUGGGGGGAAAAGUGACCCGAGCUGGGUCAGAGAGAGGAAGAAAGAGGUAGAAAGAAAAGAGCAUCCUGUGCGUGGCAUUUUUCCUCCAAAACAGAAAAGAUGAGACGUUUCCCAGCCCUUGGUUGAUACUUUAUGACAACUUCUGGUCGGUUGGGCUGGGCUUGGCUAAAAGUUGUUUCCUUAAGGCUCGUCCCUACGGAGGGUUUAGCAAACCCGAGCGAGGUUUUAAACCAAUUCAGUUCAAUUGGCAUAAAAGCUGCCCGGACGCUUUUACUUCAGACGCCUGAGGCAAACCGGUUUUCCUUGCUGCGUGACCGUAUUCCAGUUAUUUCAGGCUUGGCCGGGCAGAAAAAGUUCCAAAAGCUGUGGAAUCUCCAAGAAGAGACCUCGCCAUUAGCAGUCUUUUAUCACAGCAGUUCCAGCUCCUGCUGAUCUCCUUUCAGAGCUGCUAAACUCUAUUGUUUGGAUUUUUGGGUGCUAAACUCCACCCUUUUCCUGGCAUGAAUAUGCAAAGGACGCUCCACCCUUGAUGGGUUUUAUCAGGCAGAACACAGAUUUUAACUUCUGGUGCUCCGGACAGAAUUUAUUAAAUUUGGAUUAAAACCAAAAUGUCAACAGUUGCUCCACGUUACUCUGUGUCACAAUCAGCCCUUCCAGCUGUCUUUAGAUAGUUCAGUGUCCUGAGAGCAACAGAUAAAUAAUUUGGAAUGUGAUGGAACAUCCACAGAAGGAGUUUAUACCUGAGAACAGUAUGCAGCCACUCCAGCCAGAAGUACCUCAAAAGCUGCAGGCUCUGGAACCUUUAACUCACAGUUUUCCCCCCUUUUAUGCCAUUAGUCAUUCUGAAAAUCAACAUUUCUAACAGACCGAAAAAUCUGAGCCCAAAUGAUGUUUUAGUCACUUUAGGUUGUGAUGUUUUCUGUCACUUUAGGUUGUGAUGUUUUUAUCACUCUAGGUUAUACAGAGGGCUGCUGUGCAAACCCUGACUGCAAUAAAUAAGUAUAAAUAAGAA
Pseudopipra pipra is the source of this 3216-nucleotide long non-coding RNA. RefSeq lists it as uncharacterized. The record is from RefSeq and is a predicted model, not a curated record. The transcript has 2 exons. Lineage: Eukaryota; Metazoa; Chordata; Aves; Passeriformes; Pipridae.